CAGAAAGAGAGAGAAGAGAGUACUGACCCACACUCCUCCAUUUGCCACAGCCAAGAGAUCUGUCCAUCAAGCCAAGCAUCCACCCAUCCAUCCGUGAGACUGGACCUGGGAAACCCUGCACAUAGAAGCACAAACAGACCCACUAACCCUGCAGACCCAGGUAUGCCCUGGGGGCCGACUAAUCCCUGAAAUUGAAGUACAUCAUCACCACUGAUGUCCAGGCUCACCCUGCAUUAGAAGACAGAAACACUGAGUACCAAACAACAUGGCAUAGCCUCCACCACCUAUCAGACGCAUGGUCUUGCAGUCUUACCUUAGGACCAGGCAUCCCGUGCAGCCCC
Molecule: long non-coding RNA, 341 nt
Organism: Micropterus salmoides (largemouth bass)
Lineage: Eukaryota; Metazoa; Chordata; Actinopteri; Centrarchiformes; Centrarchidae
Exons: 4
Source: RefSeq, a predicted model, not a curated record